This 406-nucleotide ribosomal RNA is filed under the name uncultured bacterium. RNAcentral's name for it is "partial 16S ribosomal RNA". It matches the Rfam family "Bacterial small subunit ribosomal RNA", at positions 30 to 526 of the family's 1533-position model. The record is from RNAcentral.
AUUGAACGCUGGCGGCAGGCCUAACACAUGCAAGUCGAACGAGUGGCGGACGGGUGAGUAAUGUCUGGGAAACUGCCUGAUGGAGGGGGAUAACUACUGGAAACGGUAGCUAAUACCGCAAACCAUCAGAUGUGCCCAGAUGGGAUUAGCUUGUUGGUGGGGUAACGUCUCACAAAGGAGACGAGCCCUAGCUGGUCUGAGAGGAUGACCAACCACUCUGGAACGGAGAGCCGGUCCAGACUCCUACGGGAGGCAGCAGUGUGGAAUAUUGCGCAAUGGGCGCAAGCCUGAUGCAGCCAGGCCGAGUGUAUGAAGAAGGCCUUCGGUUUGUAAAGUACUUUCAGCUGGGAGGCGUUACCCGCAGAAGAAGCACCGGCUAACUCCGUGCCAGCAGUCGCGGUAAUUC